UACGUAGGGACCGAGCGUUGUCCGGAAUCAUUGGGCGUAAAGAGCGUGUAGGCGGCCUUUUAAGUCCUGCGUGAAAUCCUGCGGCUCAACCGCAGACGGUCGUGGGAAACUGGAAGGCUAGAGUGCGGGAGAGGAGAGUGGAAUUCCCGGUGUAGCGGUGAAAUGCGCAGAUAUCGGGAAGAACACCCGUGGCGAAGGCGGCUCUCUGGAACGCAACUGACGCUGAGACGCGAAAGCGUGAGGAGCAAACAGG
This 253-nucleotide ribosomal RNA is filed under the name uncultured bacterium. RNAcentral describes it as "partial 16S ribosomal RNA". It matches the Rfam family "Bacterial small subunit ribosomal RNA", at positions 524 to 776 of the family's 1533-position model. The record is from RNAcentral.